GUCAGGUUGCUUGUGAAUGCGGCCCAAAGCGGGUGGUAAACUCCAUCUAAGGCUAAAUACUGGCACGAGGCCGAUAGUCAACAAGUACCGUAAGGGAAAGUUGAAAAGGACUGGAAGAGAGUGUUCAAGAGAGCGUG
This is a non-coding RNA of Chiloscyllium plagiosum (whitespotted bambooshark), 137 nucleotides long. Lineage: Eukaryota; Metazoa; Chordata; Chondrichthyes; Orectolobiformes; Hemiscylliidae. The record is from RefSeq and is a predicted model, not a curated record.